Molecule: long non-coding RNA, 738 nt
Organism: Hemicordylus capensis (graceful crag lizard)
Lineage: Eukaryota; Metazoa; Chordata; Lepidosauria; Squamata; Cordylidae
Exons: 2
Source: RefSeq, a predicted model, not a curated record
AUCAGCCACAUAUCUUCUCAGUGCCCCUGUGCGGUAGAUUAGACUAAUUGUCCCAGGCUUACCAAGUGAACAUCACAAAUGAGUGGGGACCUGAACCUGGGUCCAUCUUGUCCCAGUGGAGGAGGAAUGAAGUGGAAGUCGGGGAGGAAUGACUCUCAGUUCGAGGAGGUGGCAGUUCCGGCCUUUCAGGAAUCGCUUUCAUGCUGUCAUGAAAUGUGUCCACUUCUGUUCACUAAUUUGCCAGUAUGUUCCCAUUAUUUUCAAUGGAGGAAACACUUCCACUCCUGCCUGUAACUUCAUGGUUUUCAAGUCAAUCUGGAUGAAAUAUGCAGAUAUAUGAAGACCCCUCCUAGGGAUUGUGUCUGCCAAAUUUAAGAGAUGGUGCUCAAGGGACCCAUUAUCAAAAAUUGUCACACCUGACCAGACAUAAGCUUCCCUUUGGUUUCAAUGAAGAGAGCCAGCUUCUGUCCCUGGCUUUGCUGUUCUCCAGCCAAUCUGCAUUAACGAUCUGUGUUCAAGGACACAGUCAAGGGAUCACACCUGUCGUACUUCCAACAGCUAGCACCACAGGACCCCAUUGCUGAAGACACUAAGAAGUACACAGAUUAAUGGCUAUCUAAACUGAUGGGAAACAACAAUUAAAAACUGGAAAUGUGGUGUUGGACCAGUUAAUUCUUGGCGUGUUGUAGACAUUUUGAAUAAUAUGAUGAUGUAAUAAAGACCAAGUUAGGCACAGGG